RNAcentral lists this ribosomal RNA (660 nucleotides) under uncultured Bacilli bacterium. Its description in RNAcentral is "bacterial SSU rRNA". It matches the Rfam family "Bacterial small subunit ribosomal RNA", at positions 72 to 718 of the family's 1533-position model. The record is from RNAcentral. Lineage: Bacteria; Bacillati; Bacillota; Bacilli.
AGAGGAGCUUGCUCUUCUUGGAUGAGUUGCGAACGGGUGAGUAACGCGUAGGUAACCUGCCUUGUAGCGGGUGAUAACUAUUGGAAACGAUAGCUAAUACCGCAUAACAAUGGGUGACACAUGUCAUUUAUUUGAAAGGGGCAAUUGCUCCACUACAAGAUGGACCUGCGUUGUAUUAGCUAGUAGGUGAGGUAACGGCUCACCUAGGCGACGAUACAUAGCCGACCUGAGAGGGUGAUCGGCCACACUGGGACUGAGACACGGCCCAGACUCCUACGGGAGGCAGCAGUAGGGAAUCUUCGGCAAUGGGGGCAACCCUGACCGAGCAACGCCGCGUGAGUGAAGAAGGUUUUCGGAUCGUAAAGCUCUGUUGUAAGUCAAGAACGAGUGUGAGAGUGGAAAGUUCACACUGUGACGGUAGCUUACCAGAAAGGGACGGCUAACUACGUGCCAGCAGCCGCGGUAAUACGUAGGUCCCGAGCGUUGUCCGGAUUUAUUGGGCGUAAAGCGAGCGCAGGCGGUUUGAUAAGUCUGAAGUUAAAGGCUGUGGCUCAACCAUAGUUCGCUUUGGAAACUGUCAAACUUGAGUGCAGAAGGGGAGAGUGGAAUUCCAUGUGUAGCGGUGAAAUGCGUAGAUAUAUGGAGGAACACCGGUGGCGA